UUUGGGCUGGGGAUGUAGCUCAGUUGGUAGAGGGUUUGCCUCACAUGCAGAAGGUCCUGGGUUCAAUCCCCAGCACUAAAA
Molecule: non-coding RNA, 81 nt
Organism: Ictidomys tridecemlineatus (thirteen-lined ground squirrel)
Lineage: Eukaryota; Metazoa; Chordata; Mammalia; Rodentia; Sciuridae
Source: the annotation of a RefSeq genome assembly